This 426-nucleotide ribosomal RNA is filed under the name uncultured prokaryote. RNAcentral's name for it is "bacterial SSU rRNA". It matches the Rfam family "Bacterial small subunit ribosomal RNA", at positions 355 to 774 of the family's 1533-position model. The record is from RNAcentral.
UCGAGAAUAUUUAGCAAUGGACGAAAGUCUGACUAUGCGACGCCGCGUGCAGGAUGAAGGUUUUCGGAUCGUAAACUGCUUUUGUUAGGAAAGAAAAUGCUAAACCUAAUAAGUUUAGAACUGACGGUACCUAACGAAUAAGCCACGGCCAACUCCGUGCCAGCAGCCGCGGUAAUACGGAGGUGGCAAGCGUUACUCGGAAUCAUUGGGUGUAAAGGGCAAGUAGGCGGUUUAAUAAGUGAGGGGUGAAAUCUCCCGGCUCAAUCGGGAAACUGCCUUUCAAACUGUUAAACGUGAGGAUGGUAGAGGAAAGCGGAAUUUCCGGUGUAAGGGUGAAAUCUGUGGAUAUCGGGAAGAACAUCAACGGCGAAGGCAGCUUUCUGGGCCAUCUCUGACGCUGAAUUGCGAAAGCUAGGGGAGCAAACA